UACGUAGGGGGCAAGCGUUGUCCGGAUUUAUUGGGUGUAAAGAGCGUGUAGGCGGCUGGGUAGGUCCGUUGUGAAAACUCGAGGCUCAACCUCGAGACGCCGAUGGAAACCCUCCAGCUAGAGUCCGGAAGAGGAGAGUGGAAUUCCUGGUGUAGCGGUGAAAUGCGCAGAUAUCAGGGAGAACACCCGUGGCUAAGGCGGCUCUCUAGUACGGUACUGACGCUGAGACGCGAAAGCGUGGGGAGCGAACAGG
Molecule: ribosomal RNA, 253 nt
Filed under: uncultured bacterium
Lineage: Bacteria
Description: partial 16S ribosomal RNA
Rfam family: Bacterial small subunit ribosomal RNA
Source: RNAcentral